Molecule: long non-coding RNA, 793 nt
Organism: Bubalus bubalis (water buffalo)
Lineage: Eukaryota; Metazoa; Chordata; Mammalia; Artiodactyla; Bovidae
Exons: 2
Source: RefSeq, a predicted model, not a curated record
UUUUUUUCAGGGACAGAAGCAUUAUAGACAUGAUAACAACUAAGUGGAGCUUGUCUUUGGAGCAGUCAGAAAGCUUGAGGGACAAGCUUCUUUGUGGGCUUCCUGCCCACGGAAUUUGAAGUUUGUAGAAUGUUCCACGUAUGCUCUAGAGACAUCUGGAAGCUCAUGUACCACAUUGUGGAAGAUACAGAGCUGUGCAUACCUGGCAGCUGCCCUGCUUACAGCCCCCUGCUGGGUCCCUGCAUGUGCUGUCUGCCUGCUCCCUAUGGUUGACAGGCCCCACCCUCUGUGACCUAGGCUUGGCCAGUCAGCCUUUUCCCUUGACCUCAUAAAGAUAUGCUUCCAGAACACUGGGGCCAUGGUUUCAGACUUGUGGACAGAGUAAAAGGAGCAAAAUCAAGCCAACAUCCAGAUAGAAGCAGAUGGAAGGCCGCAAAAGAGAGUCUAGGCUGUGCUGAGGGCCUAGCCUGGGGUGUUUCCAACCAAACUCCUGCCCUUUUGGGAUAUGGGAGCCAACAAAUCCAUUCUUUUCAUUAAGUUCAUCCAAUUGAAAAAGCCAUGACUGGUUCACAUUGACCGUAUUGUCUGAUCAACAAGCACCCGACUUGAGGAUGCCACAGGGAUUUACCAAGGAGGGCCACCAUCAGGGUCUGAGGUCAUAGCAAAUGCACGUGGUGCUGAGUGGGUUCUCAAGGAUUGUUGAAGACGACUGCUGAUCAUUUGAUAAGUGCCAAUCUCCAUGCAUCAUGUUUGGUUUUUCCUUUAUUUCUUGAAGACAAAUUUUAUUUGGCAA